Hypoxylon cercidicola is the source of this 118-nucleotide non-coding RNA. The record is from the annotation of a GenBank genome assembly. Lineage: Eukaryota; Fungi; Ascomycota; Sordariomycetes; Xylariales; Hypoxylaceae.
UCUCGAUUGGUCUAGUGGUCAGGAUACCUGCUUGUCAUGCCGGGAUAUCACGUCAUCAAGCGUGAUACUUAUCGUGUGCAAUACGCAGGUGGCCGGGGUUCGAUUCCCCGAUCGAGAG